CUGCAGUGGUAAAAACGUCCAGGCCCACAUGCUUCAAGAUAGAUUUUUGUUAGUGCCUUUUGAAAUGUUUUUUCCGCCACACUAACCUUGUGCUCUCCCUGUCUAGAUCCACCUGAUACUCCACCAGCCACGUCCCUUUUGACUUGAUCCUCAGCGUUCGCUGUCCUAGCUUGAUUCCCUGGGCCAUCCUUCCUAUUCCCCCCCUGCUUUGUCCACCGGAUUUCCCCGCCUGCUCCUCCCUCCCUGAGCUUAACAGUGGCUGGCCAAGAUGAACCCCUCAAACACUAAUCCGGAACCCUCAGUCCUCCACCAUGCUCUGUCAACCCAGGGCACAGUUCUCUGCCAACAUGACCAGCUAAUCCAUGCGCUAGUUGAGAGUAAUCAAUCCAUGGUUCACCACAUCUCGGAGCUAGACUGCCAGAUCUCCGCCCUGACUACAUCCACCUCUUCAACUGCCUCUCCAGCCACCUCCACUGUUGCGACACCUUGCCGGGAUUUUCCCAUUGCUGACCCCGAACCCUUCUACGGGGACGUUGAGAGGUGCCGUGGAUUCUUAUUCCAAUGCAAUAAGACAACGAGAUUCCACUACUCCAGUUUCCAGUCCACCAACUAAUUACUCUACCUCGUCAAAGGAGGAACCCAUGCAACUGGGACGAGCCCAGCUUUCCCCAGAGGAGUGGCAGCGACGGGUAAGAGCUGAUCCACCUGAUACUCCACCAGCCACGUCCAGCCCCUCACCCCUUUUGACUUGAUCCUCAGCCUUCGCUCUCCUAGCUUGGUUCCCUGGGCCAUCCUUCAUAGUCCCCCCCUGCUCCUUCCACUGGAUUUCCUCGCCUGCUCCUCCCUUUUCCUAAC
Long non-coding RNA from Eleginops maclovinus (Patagonian blennie), 855 nucleotides. RefSeq lists it as uncharacterized. The transcript is spliced from 3 exons. NCBI's taxonomy places the organism in Eukaryota, Metazoa, Chordata, Actinopteri, Perciformes, Eleginopidae. The record is from RefSeq and is a predicted model, not a curated record.